This 126-nucleotide small nucleolar RNA is filed under the name Cervus hanglu yarkandensis (Yarkand deer). RNAcentral describes it as "Small nucleolar RNA SNORA70 (ENSCHYG00000020127.1)". It matches the Rfam family "Small nucleolar RNA SNORA70". From Rfam's summary of the family: snoRNA U70 seems to be exclusive to mammals and is a member of the H/ACA class of snoRNA which contain H (ANANNA) and ACA box motifs. H/ACA box snoRNAs are involved in the conversion of uridines to pseudouridines (5-ribosyluracil) a constituent of structural RNAs (transfer, ribosomal, small nuclear, and small nucleolar). The record is from Rfam by way of RNAcentral. Lineage: Eukaryota; Metazoa; Chordata; Mammalia; Artiodactyla; Cervidae.
GGGCAUCUUAAAACUCCGGGAGACCCAUGGGGGCCCAGUGUGCAAUGGCUGCAAACAGCAGCCUCCUUGGUAGUGUAUGCAACCUGUUGCCUGUACAGGUAGCCCUAAGGGACCUUGGAGACAACU